This 493-nucleotide ribosomal RNA is filed under the name uncultured bacterium. RNAcentral describes it as "bacterial SSU rRNA". It matches the Rfam family "Bacterial small subunit ribosomal RNA", at positions 30 to 517 of the family's 1533-position model. The record is from RNAcentral.
AUUGAACGCUGGCGGCAGGCCUAACACAUGCAAGUCGAGCGGUAGAGAGGUGCUUGCAUCUCUUGAGAGCGGCGGACGGGUGAGUAAUGCCUAGGAAUCUGCCUAGUGGUGGGGGAUAACGUUCGGAAACGGACGCUAAUACCGCAUACGUCCUACGGGAGAAAGCGGGGGAUCUUCGGACCUCGCGCCAUUAGAUGAGCCUAGGUCGGAUUAGCUAGUUGGUGAGGUAAUGGCUCACCAAGGCGACGAUCCGUAACUGGUCUGAGAGGAUGAUCAGUCACACUGGAACUGAGACACGGUCCAGACUCCUACGGAAGGCAGCAGUGGGGAAUAUUGGACAAUGGGCGAAGCCUGAUCCAGCCAUGCCGCGUGUGUGAAGAAGGUCUUCGGAUUGUAAAGCACUUUAAGUUGGGAGGAAGGGUAGUAACCUAAUACGUUGCUACUUUGACGUUACCGACAGAAUAAGCACCGGCUAACUUCGUGCCAGCAGCCG